Molecule: ribosomal RNA, 254 nt
Filed under: uncultured bacterium
Lineage: Bacteria
Description: partial 16S ribosomal RNA
Rfam family: Bacterial small subunit ribosomal RNA
Source: RNAcentral
UACGUAGGGUGCGAGCGUUAAUCGGAAUUACUGGGCGUAAAGCGUGCGCAGGCGGUUUUGUAAGCCAGAUGUGAAAUCCCCGGGCUUAACCUGGGAAUGGCAUUUGGGACUGCAAGGCUCGAGUGCGGCAGAGGAGACUGGAAUUCCUGGUGUAGCAGUGAAAUGCGUAGAUAUCGAGAGGAACACCAGAGGUGAAGACGGGUUGCUGGGCCGACACUGACGCUGACAGCGCGAAAGCCAGGGGAGCAAACGGG